RNAcentral lists this long non-coding RNA (1105 nucleotides) under Macaca mulatta (Rhesus monkey). RNAcentral's name for it is "lncRNA (ENSMMUG00000057515.1)". The record is from RNAcentral. Lineage: Eukaryota; Metazoa; Chordata; Mammalia; Primates; Cercopithecidae.
AUGAACGCCAUCCGGUUCAUGAAAUCCCCAGUAAUUCUUCACUUCAUGCCUUUGGAGGGGGAGAAGGCUUCAUCCAGGUGCUGUGAAGAGCUCUACAACUGGAGUAUCAUUACAGCAGGGAAAGAGCCAGCCCAGGUCCAGGACUUGAUGUCACCUGUACCACUGUGGCUGUUGGGGACAGCAGGAAGACCACCGACUCGGGAGUCAGGGAUCAUGUGUUCCAGUCUGGCAUUGCCACAUCAUUGUGUAACCAUUGUGCACGUGUUUUCCUCUCAGUGGGCCUUGGUCAAUCCACAUCGGUAAGUGUAAAUAAAUUUACAUUUAUUUUGUUUUGUAUUAUUGUGUUUCUGUAAAUAAUACAAACUCCUAGUGGACCUCUUGGCUUUUAGGCCUCCUUCUUAUGAUUCGAUCCUCCUCUUCUGACAAGAAUAUGUAGAUUUUUUUUCCUUUGAGGAAGCACCACUCCUCCAUCCCCAGUCCGUGUGUUUCAGAUGACGCUAACUCCACCCUCAGCUCCAGAUGAAGGCACAUGACUGAGGCUCAGAUGUUCUACAUCUGUAAAAUAAUCCACGUAAUCACAACUAACAUUUAUUGAAUUGAGUGUUUACUAGAAGCAAGACACUGUGCUAGGCUCUUUACCUAUAGCAACUUCUGUGAACUAUACACUGUUACCAGUCCUAUAUUACAGAUGAGACAACUGAGGCACAGCACACAUUACAUAACCAUCCACAGUUAUGCACCUAAGCUCUUAAUUACUGCCUGGACCAAAGACGGAACUUGAGUGCUAAACCUCCUCCACUCACCUCCUCCCCACUGGAAAAGGGAGUGGGUUGUUCUAUCACUGAUUGUAUUUUACUUGCGUUUGAUGUGUGUUCUUUUUAGUAAAUAUUUAAAAAAUUCUAACACAUACAAGUUGUAAAACACAUGUGACAUUUUUCCUGCCCAACUUCCAUACCCCCUUUCUCUGGCUGCAGAACCUCUAGUUUCUGUGGGUGAACCACCUGUCUCCAUUCUUAGUCUUUGGCAUUCUGAAUGGGCUGAUCCUCUCUUCAUGGCCCAUUCAGAUCUAGGCGGUGGGAUGUGACUCAGGUCUGACUAAUCAGAG